This 5167-nucleotide small RNA is filed under the name Pan troglodytes (chimpanzee). Its description in RNAcentral is "retained intron". Lineage: Eukaryota; Metazoa; Chordata; Mammalia; Primates; Hominidae. The record is from RNAcentral.
GGCUGCGUCAUUUUUGAACUGCUUACCUUAAAGAGGACGUUUGAUGCUACGAACCCACUUAACCUGUGUGUGAAGAUUGUGCAAGGAAUUCGGGCCAUGGAAGUUGACUCUAGCCAGUACUCUUUGGAAUUGAUCCAAAUGGUUCAUUCGUGCCUUGACCAGGAUCCUGAGCAGAGACCUACUGCAGAUGAACUUCUAGAUCGCCCUCUUCUCAGGAAACGCAGGAGAGAGAUGGAGGAAAAAGUCACUCUGCUUAAUGCACCUACAAAGAGACCAAGGUCAAGCACUGUGACUGAAGCACCCAUUGCUGUAGUAACAUCACGAACCAGUGAAGUCUAUGUUUGGGGUGGUGGAAAAUCCACCCCCCAGAAACUGGAUGUUAUCAAGAGUGGCUGUAGUGCCCGGCAGGUCUGUGCAGGGAAUACCCACUUUGCUGUGGUCACAGUGGAGAAGGAACUGUACACUUGGGUGAACAUGCAAGGAGGCACUAAACUCCAUGGUCAGCUGGGCCAUGGAGACAAAGCCUCCUAUCGACAGCCAAAGCAUGUGGAGAAGUUGCAAGGCAAAGCUAUCCAUCAGGUGUCAUGCGGUGAUGAUUUCACUGUCUGUGUGACUGAUGAGGGUCAGCUCUAUGCCUUCGGAUCAGAUUAUUAUGGCUGCAUGGGGGUGGACAAAGUUGCUGGCCCUGAAGUGCUAGAACCCAUGCAGCUGAACUUCUUCCUCAGCAGUCCAGUGGAGCAGGUCUCCUGUGGAGAUAAUCAUGUGGUGGUUCUGACACGAAACAAGGAAGUCUAUUCUUGGGGCUGUGGCGAAUAUGGUAGGGGUAGCCUUGUCUCUGUCCACUUCUUCACAGGUAUACAACCUGACUUCAAAGUUGUAUGCAUCUAAACACAUCAUGCAGCCCCUAAAUGAGAAGUGUUAAUUCAGUAAAUCUUUUUUUUUUUUUUUUCUCUCGAGACAGAGUCUCUCUCUGUCACCCAGGCUGGAGUGCAAUGGCACGAUCUGGGCUCAUUGCAACCACCACCUCCCGAGUUCGAGCGAUUCUCCUGCCUCAGCCUCCCGAGUAGCUGGGAUUACAGGCGCACGCCAUCACACCCAGCUAAUUUUUUGUAUUUUUAGUAGAGAUGGGGUUUCACCACAUUGGCCAGGCUUGUCUCGAACUUCUGACCUCAUGAUCCGCCUGCCUCGGCCUCCCAAAGUGCUGGGAUUACAGGUGUGAGCCACCGCACCUGGCAAAAGAGAAUCUUACAGAACCUAUUCACUGGGAAGGAAGCCCUCAUUUUAAUGAUUUUCAUUCUUAUGUGUGUUUCAGGACGACUGGGUUUGGAUUCAGAAGAGGAUUAUUAUACACCACAAAAGGUGGAUGUUCCCAAGGCCUUGAUUAUUGUUGCAGUUCAAUGUGGCUGUGAUGGGACAUUUCUGUUGACCCAGUCAGGCAAAGUGCUGGCCUGUGGACUCAAUGAAUUCAAUAAGCUGGGUCUGAAUCAGUGCAUGUCGGGAAUUAUCAACCAUGAAGCAUACCAUGAAGUUCCCUACACAACGUCCUUUACCUUGGCCAAACAGUUGUCCUUUUAUAAGAUCCGUACCAUUGCCCCAGGCAAGACUCACACAGCUGCUAUUGAUGAGCGAGGCCGGCUUCUGACCUUUGGCUGCAACAAGUGCGGGCAGCUGGGCGUUGGGAACUACAAGAAGCGUCUGGGAAUCAACCUGUUGGGGGGACCCCUAGGUGGGAAGCAAGUGAUCAGGGUCUCCUGCGGUGAUGAGUUUACCAUUGCUGCCACUGAUGAUAAUCACAUUUUUGCCUGGGGCAAUGGUGGUAAUGGCCGCCUGGCAAUGACCCCCACAGAGAGACCACAUGGCUCUGAUAUCUGUACCUCAUGGCCUCGGCCUAUUUUUGGAUCUCUGCAUCAUGUCCCGGACCUGUCUUGCCGUGGAUGGCAUACCAUUCUCAUUGUUGAGAAAGUAUUGAAUUCUAAGACCAUCCGUUCCAAUAGCAGUGGCUUAUCCAUUGGAACUGUGUUUCAGAGCUCUAGCCCAGGAGGAGGCGGCGGGGGCGGCGGUGGUGAAGAAGAGGACAGUCAGCAGGAAUCUGAAACUCCUGACCCAAGUGGAGGCUUCCGAGGAACAAUGGAAGCAGACCGAGGAAUGGAAGGUUUAAUCAGUCCCACAGAGGCCAUGGGGAACAGUAAUGGGGCCAGCAGCUCCUGUCCUGGCUGGCUUCGAAAGGAGCUGGAAAAUGCAGAAUUUAUCCCCAUGCCUGACAGCCCAUCUCCUCUCAGUGCAGCGUUUUCAGAAUCUGAGAAAGAUACCCUGCCCUAUGAAGAGCUGCAAGGACUCAAAGUGGCCUCUGAAGCUCCUUUGGAACACAAACCCCAAGUAGAAGCCUCGUCACCUCGGCUGAAUCCUGCAGUAACCUGUGCUGGGAAGGGAACACCACUGACUCCUCCUGUGUGUGCGUGCAGCUCUCUGCAGGUGGAGGUUGAGAGAUUGCAGGGUCUGGUGUUAAAGUGUCUGGCUGAACAACAGAAGCUACAGCAAGAAAACCUCCAGAUUUUUACCCAACUGCAGAAGUUGAACAAGAAAUUAGAAGGAGGGCAGCAGGUGGGGAUGCAUUCCAAAGGAACUCAGACAGCAAAGGAAGAGAUGGAAAUGGAUCCAAAGCCUGACUUAGAUUCAGAUUCCUGGUGCCUCCUGGGAACAGACUCCUGUAGACCCAGCCUCUAGUCUCCUGAGCCUAUAGAGCCCCCAGGAGACUGGGACCCAAAGAACUUCACAGCACACUUACCGAAUGCAGAGAGCAGCUUUCCUGGCUUUGUUCACUUGCAGAAAAGGAGCGCAAGGCAGAGGCUCUGAAGCACUUUCCUUGUACAUUUGGAGAGUGGCAUUGCCUUUUAGAUAGGAUCUAGGAGUGAUUUUAUUGUUUUGGAGAAUGGAAGGGCCCCCAUGGCCCUGGCUUUGUCAUCAGUGACUGCCAUAGCAACAGCAGCUCUGUACCUCAUCUGUUGAUCCCACCUUUAAAGAGGAGACACAGUGCUCACCUUAAUUGCUCUGGUAGCAGCUUAUAUCCCAUGUAUCAUUUUCACCAUUGAUUGGAAGCUGCCUUGGGAAUUCAGUACCAGGCAUUACCCCUCUGGGUGGGAGAGGGAAAAGUGUAAAGUUGGAGUGGGCUGGAGUCAGGUGUGGCCCGCCCAGUGUCCUCUGCAGAGUGGUGAAGUAGUCUGGCCCUCUUGGGAGCCCUGAGUCCAGGAAAAUAUGUCUGAUGGAAUCAAUCUAGGGCUUGUUUCGAAAAAGUUCAGUUACUCUGUGCAGCUAAAUGCUUUAGGAGGAAAGGUAGGCUUAGGUUGCUUUUCCUCUGAGGGUUGAUUGAAAUUUCUUCAGUGAGGAAUAGAGAAAGGGCAGGACCCUCCUCAUUACACAGCUGGUGUUUCAGGCUGUGACCAAUGCAGGGUGGGAUUUCCUAACUGUGGAUGAGGGGAUGAGGUGUCUCUGAGGGAUGAGGUGUCUCAGAGAAUUGAGUCCAUGGGGCAGUCAGAAUAGCCUUAAGAGAAAAUCAUGAAGGAGAAGAGGUCCUCCUUUAGCUGCCUCUACUUGGUAUCUUAGAGAGGGCUUAGAGGGCUCUCAGUCUUCUGCCCGUGAAAAGACUUCUUUGAGCCUCUGCCUUCAUGGCUCUUAGGGUUCUGAUCUUGAUAUCAGCAGCCCCAACCACUUUGUUUCUGUAUGUCUAGUCAGUAUUUUCCCCCUUUUGGUGUUUUAUGAAGCCAUGUGAUAACGAAUGAAUCUGUAUCAUUUUUCCUACCUGAGUGGCCCAAAGCCAGCACCAAACCCUGGGAGUCCCUGAAGCCUAACAGAACAGGUAGAACUUGCAAAAGGAAUUUGGCUGAGAGCUCACUUCUAAUCCUGUACUCACUGUGUCUUUGUAGAUAGAAACAAGCUAGCCUUACCAAAGAGAAAUAGUGUCAUAGAAGAACAAAACUUCAUAUAGAAAGUUCUAGGCAUGUAUUUGAUGGUUUCCUUAAGGAUGUGAGCUUUGUAUUUCCACCUAGCCUUGUAAAAUGUUCCUGUGGUAUUUUGUGUCACACAUCCUACCUUUGAUGAGUCUCACAUCCCACCUUCCUACAAACAGCUAAAUUAAUUUUGUUUCAUUUUCCCCAGACCAAAAUGUUUGAUAAUCUUUUCAACAUUGUGGGAGGUCCUGUGCAAUGGAAAUUUUGCCAUUUCUCCAAAACUGGUGGCAUAAAGGCUGAUGCUUGGGGAGAACCCCAUUGCUUGGGACAGGCAACUCUGUUCAAUGGGAUCUUCUUUGGUUUGAUGUUCCCAUUGUUUUCUCAGUUCUGGGAAGCCUAGUACAUUAGUACUAAUGUAAUCACUGAAACCUUUUCUUGAAAUAAGGGAAGCAGCCAAACUUUGAUUAAAGUUGCAAGUUCUGGGGACUUGCGGGGGUUGUCAUAAACUGUAACAGUGGGUUUUGGUUCAGCAUGUAAAUGCAACUUUGAUUUUCUUGAGGACCGAUUGACCUGUCAUGUCCCUGUAUCCUCAUGCUCAUCAUCUCAGCAGGCCUGAGAGGCUGGGUCAGUUUGGGUGUUCAUCAUGAGGAUUGCUUCUGCCAUGGAGCUGAUGGACAUGGGCAGGUUGCUGAGAAGGUGGGGUGAAAGUGAGUGCCGGGGAUGGGUGAGUGCCCUGGUCUUGUUCAUAGAGGAGCCUUUCCCUAGCAGUGGAAUGCUGUGGUCAUUUUCUCUAGCAUAUUCCCUUGGGAAGUCUAGAUUUGCUAUUAAUCUGGCUGAGAAUCUAAGUUCUGUGCCUUAGAGACAGUUUGCACUUUCCCAUAUUGUGCCUGGGACAGCCAUAUGAUUUUUUUUCCCACCAAACAAGUAUGCAAACAGAAACCAGUUCAAAGGGGGAUGGAGUAAAAGAUGAGGCAGUAGAAAUGCCUUUGAAUGGUUUUCUGUAGCUAAUUCUCUUUAAAUUUUGUCCUGCUUUUUUUCUUUAUGCAGUGCUAGGUGUUUUAAGUUUUCUAGUAGUAUUGCUUUUGAGUUACAGUAUAACCUGAGUUACUCCUCUGCUCUAACAUUGUUGCAGAAGAACUAGUUUAUUGUUAGCCAGGUUGCUUGAAAGGUUGAGAGUGGAGUGGUUUGGCAUUUCUGUUUUAAAUAAACAUUUAAGCUCUUAA